This is a long non-coding RNA of Pezoporus flaviventris, 680 nucleotides long. RefSeq lists it as uncharacterized. The transcript has 3 exons. Lineage: Eukaryota; Metazoa; Chordata; Aves; Psittaciformes; Psittacidae. The record is from RefSeq and is a predicted model, not a curated record.
UCUUGAGCUAACGCCAAGCUAACUCUAGCAGCAAAAUUAUCAUGCGAAGGCAUGUGGUCCAUUAAAAAUACGAGUCACAUAGAGUUGUAGGGUGAUGUCACAUCAGCUGCCCCCGAUGAUGGCUAUCAAAAGUUAGCACAAGCCUCCAAAUCACAAACGCCUUGGCUCUGAUCCCAUUUUAAUGAAUCUGCUUUUACGAUUAAACAUCACUGUAAUUGGCACUGGAAGAGUGCUGGCAGUCUGCUGUAGUCUCCUUCCCUGCAAAGCGUGUUUGUGAUGCUCAUCUCGGAAUGAUGCAUAGUGUCUGCCUGUCUCCUAUUAAAAUAAGUGGUAUGAACAGUGGCUGGCAGGCAGACUGGUCAGCAGUGAUUCACUCCCUGGCAGCCAUGAUGAGCAGCAUGGGCUAAAUUCAGCCUUGGUGGAGGUAUGUAUUUCUCCAUUUCUUUUCAAGGCAUCACAUCAAUGUUACAUCAGGUAUCAAGGGAAAAUGGCUAGCAGUGAGUUCUGUAGCUUUUCCUGCUCUGCAGCCCCUCUGGCUUAGCCAGCUGGAUCACACUGAAUUAGUCAACUACUUCAUUAUCUCCCUUCUCUGCACAUUUUGCUCCAGCUUAGAUCACCAAGGUACUGCAAAUGUUGCCAAAGCCUCACUCUCCUCUGCUCUCCUACCAUCCUGCCCUCCC